GGGGAAUAUUGCACAAUGGGCGCAAGCCUGAUGCAGCGACGCCGCGUGGGGGAUGACGGCCUUCGGGUUGUAAACUCCUUUCGCUAGGGACGAAGCUUUUUGUGACGGUACCUAGAUAAGAAGCACCGGCUAACUACGUGCCAGCAGCCGCGGUAAUACGUAGGGUGCGAGCGUUGUCCGGAAUUACUGGGCGUAAAGGGCUCGUAGGUGGUUUGUCGCGUCGUCUGUGAAAUUCCGGGGCUUAACUCCGGGCGUGCAGGCGAUACGGGCAUAACUUGAGUACUGUAGGGGUAACUGGAAUUCCUGGUGUAGCGGUGAAAUGCGCAGAUAUCAGGAGGAACACCGAUGGCGAAGGCAGGUUACUGGGCAGUUACUGACGCUGAGGAGCGAAAGCAUGGGUAGCAAACAGGAUUAGAUACCCUGGUAGUCCAUGCCGUAAACGGUGGGCGCUAGGUGUAGGGACCUUUUGGGGUUUCUGUGCCGUAGCUAACGCAUUAAGCGCCCCGCCUGGGGAGUACGGCCGCAAGGCUA
This 531-nucleotide ribosomal RNA is filed under the name uncultured bacterium. Its description in RNAcentral is "bacterial SSU rRNA". It matches the Rfam family "Bacterial small subunit ribosomal RNA", at positions 356 to 896 of the family's 1533-position model. The record is from RNAcentral.